UGCAUUCACUACUGUAAGUCGCUCUGGAUAAGAGCGUCUGCUAAAAAUGACUAUAA
Molecule: non-coding RNA, 56 nt
Organism: Salmo salar (Atlantic salmon)
Lineage: Eukaryota; Metazoa; Chordata; Actinopteri; Salmoniformes; Salmonidae
Source: Rfam